GCCCUUAGAGUUUGAUCAUGGCUCAGAUUGAACGCUGGCGGCAGGCCUAACACAUGCAAGUCGAGCGGUAACAGAUCCAGCUUGCUGGAUGCUGACGAGCGGCGGACGGGUGAGUAACGCAUAGGAAUCUACCCGGUAGUGGGGGAUAACCUGGGGAAACUCAGGCUAAUACCGCAUACGUCCUACGGGAGAAAGGGGGCCUUGGCUCCCGCUAUCGGAUGAGCCUAUGCCGGAUUAGCUGGUUGGUGAGGUAAUGGCUCACCAAGGCAACGAUCCGUAGCUGGUCUGAGAGGAUGAUCAGCCACAUCGGGACUGAGACACGGCCCGAACUCCUACGGGAGGCAGCAGUGGGGAAUAUUGGACAAUGGGGGCAACCCUGAUCCAGUCAUGCCGCGUGUGUGAAGAAGGCCCUCGGGUUGUAAAGCACUUUCAGCGAGGAAGAACGCCUGUCGGUUAAUACCCGGCAGGAAAGACAUCACUCGCAGAAGAAGCACCGGUUAACUCCGUGCCAGCAGCCG
This 518-nucleotide ribosomal RNA is filed under the name uncultured Gammaproteobacteria bacterium. RNAcentral's name for it is "bacterial SSU rRNA". It matches the Rfam family "Bacterial small subunit ribosomal RNA", at positions 1 to 517 of the family's 1533-position model. The record is from RNAcentral. Lineage: Bacteria; Pseudomonadati; Pseudomonadota; Gammaproteobacteria.